CAGCCGCCGCGGUAAUACAGAGGGUGCGAGCGUUAAUCGGAUUUACUGGGCGUAAAGCGUGCGUAGGCUGCUUCUUAAGUCGGAUGUGAAAUCCCUGAGCUUAACUUAGGAAUUGCAUUCGAUACUGGGAAGCUAGAGUAUGGGAGAGGAUGGUAGAAUUCCAGGUGUAGUGGUGAAAUGCGUAGAGAUCUGGAGGAAUACCGAUGGCGAAGGCAGCCAUCUGGCCUAAUACUGACGCUGAGGUACGAAAGCAUGGGGAGCAAACAGGAUUAGAUACCCCCGUAGUCCCUGUCUCUUAUAC
RNAcentral lists this ribosomal RNA (301 nucleotides) under uncultured bacterium. RNAcentral describes it as "partial 16S ribosomal RNA". It matches the Rfam family "Bacterial small subunit ribosomal RNA", at positions 509 to 807 of the family's 1533-position model. The record is from RNAcentral.